GUGGGUAUAGCUCAGUAGUAGAGCAUGUGCUUAGCAUGCACGAGGUCCUGGGUUCAAUCCCCAGUACCUCCA
RNAcentral lists this transfer RNA (72 nucleotides) under Camelus bactrianus (Bactrian camel). It matches the Rfam family "tRNA". Rfam says of the family: Transfer RNA (tRNA) molecules are approximately 80 nucleotides in length. Their secondary structure includes four short double-helical elements and three loops (D, anti-codon, and T loops). RNAcentral also lists the same sequence under 3 other names. Lineage: Eukaryota; Metazoa; Chordata; Mammalia; Artiodactyla; Camelidae. The record is from Rfam by way of RNAcentral.